CAAAAACAAAUGAACAUCAUGCAGUUUCAUAGGUGUAGAUGACAUUUGAAAAAUGUAUUGUAUGUUAGGAGAUUUUAAGUAUCGCUUUCUCACGUUGUCAUCAUGAAUGAUCCAUUUGAAGAAGAUAUUUCUUGGGACUUUUUUGUGCAACAUUAUUAUUGGGUUUUGGUUCUUGUAGUAGUACUUAUAUUCAUUAUGGUUUGUAUACUGGUGUGGUAUAUAAGGCGAUGCAGGAGAGAGCCUAGGUAUGAAUAUACAGCACUGGCAGAUGAGUCAUUUUUGCAAGAUCGUUUGGAGAUGGAUCGAAAAUUACAGAGAGAUUCAGAUCGAAAUAUGUCAACUAUACGUUGCCAGUAUUAUUUACGAGGAUCUAAUCGUUAUGUUUUUCUUCAGCAUUUACCAGAUAUGGGUAGCAGGCUUGACAAAAACUGGUUUCUUGUACGAGAUAACACUACAAAAACAGAACGUUUGUUGACAAUGACUCCUGUUGCUGAAAACUGUCCAAUCAAAUAUAAUGCUGAAACCAGAGAAAUUUUAUUAGAUUUGUUUUUAGCUUUGCAACAUCCAUAUAUUUAUCCUGUGUUGGAUAUUGAUAGGAAAAUUGUCAUGGAGCAGGAAUAUGUUAUUGCUGUUUUACCUUUCAAUGAGGAAGGAACCUUAAAAGAUGUUAUAUAUCGCAGUCAUUGCCAAGAUGACUGGAAAGAAAAAUAUCAUUAUCAUGGCUAUGGUUCAGAAUCUGCUCAGAUUCAAAGAUUGGGUUGUCAGGUUUUAGAAGCUUUGUUAUUUUUAAAGGAUCAAAGAUUUCCACCAUUUUUACAUUUGCAUUCUGGAAAUAUAAUAGUUCAAAAUGGUGUAGCAAGGGUGUCAGGUCUAGAAAAUACUCUAUUUGGUUAUACACCUCGAUCACAUAUAGUAAUCCCUAAGCGGCUGCAUGACAAUAAAGACGCUGUUGAAGUUAUGUGCUUUGGUCACCUUUUAUUUGAAAUGGCCGCUGGUUAUGAACUUACUUCUUCACAUCCAUCUGAAAAAAAUUAUAAAGAUGUAGAAAAUAAACCAUUAGUCAGUGAUGUUUUAAAGUUUAUUUUUGAGCAGGGUCGUUAUCGUUUCCCCACUUUACAGCAAAUUGCAAGUCUUGACUUUUUCCGCCAUAUUGAUUUAAGGGAAUUGCGCUCCCUAAUGCCAGUGCCAUCAAUAAAAGCAAAACUGAGUUCAGCAGCUCGGGCUGUCUUGAAGGAAGUAAAAAGGCAUCAAAGAUCUAGAAGCAUACUGGCCAUAGACGCAGUAAACGGCCCCAAUCAAUGCCUGCUUUAGAAACAGAAUCAUUACUUGACUAUAGAGAUAGCCCUAGUUCUGGGAAUAGCAGCAGAGCUUCAAAGAGAAAAAAGAAACAUUCUGCCACUUCCUCAGAAUCCAGCAAGACAGAACUGCAUGGUGAUACUCUCUUGAAAACUAUGCCAUUUUCUGAAAAUGAAGGCUCUGCUUUUCAUACUCAUCCAUCAACA
RNAcentral lists this unclassified non-coding RNA (1502 nucleotides) under Stegodyphus dumicola. Its description in RNAcentral is "slowpoke-binding protein-like, transcript variant X1". The record is from RNAcentral. Lineage: Eukaryota; Metazoa; Arthropoda; Arachnida; Araneae; Eresidae.